Rattus norvegicus (Norway rat) is the source of this 611-nucleotide non-coding RNA. The record is from RefSeq and is a predicted model, not a curated record. Lineage: Eukaryota; Metazoa; Chordata; Mammalia; Rodentia; Muridae.
AUGAACAUGCUUCCUGACACCUGCUCUGUUCUCGUGCUCCUCCUAAUGCUCAGAAGGAGCAAUGGAGACUCAGUGACCCAGACAGAAGGCCUGGUCACUCUCACAGAGGGGUCGCCUGUGAUGCUGAACUGUACCUUUCAGACUGCUUAUUCAGAUAUUUCCCUGUUCUGGUAUGUGCAAUAUCUCAAUAAAGCUCCUGAGCUACUCCUGAGGAGCUCUACAGACAACAAGAGGACCGAGCACGAAGGGUUCCACGCCGCUCUCCAUAAGAGCAGCCGCUCCUUCCGUCUGCAGAAGCCCUCAGCACAGCUGUCAGACUCUGCCCUGUACUACUGUGCUGUGGAGACACAGUGAGGGAGACGGCAGGGGAAGCUGCACAUGAACCCAGGGUGCAGGAGGGCUGAGGAGAGGGAAGGCCGGGGGAGGGAGGCUAUGUGCUUUGGCUAAGUGAUUGUUUUCCUAGCUGUCUGAAAAUACCUACAAAUCACAGGUCAAAUUCCUAGAAAUGUAGGUAUUUGUGGUUAUUUUGACAAGAUAGGAUGGAUGUCAGUGCUAGUAAGAACCCAGGUUUUGAUCCCCAGAAAUAGCGCCAGACCUCUCCCAGAAAAUAC